UUUUUCUAACCUAAGUAAUCCUCUAAAACAUUAGUUUCCCUAAAGUCCAGAAAUGACCUAAUUUGGCUUUUUUGGAAUAAAAAUUAUACAGGAAGCAUUUGUCAAAUAUGAAAUGGUAUUUGGUUUUCUGUGUUUGGUUUUAUUUGGGCUGUAUUUGUACAAAUAUGUUAUUGGCAUGUGUUCCAAAAUUAUGGGAAACUCCUGUAAUUCUGAUAUAACCUAGUGUACAUUAUCAGUAAUAAUCAUAAUUGUUAUGUUAAAAUCAUUGGGUGCAGAAGAGGUAACAAAUAUCCUUGUCAGUUGUAUCUAUUAAAUAUGACUGCCUUAAAACAUUUUUUUCAUCCAUGGUCCAUUUUCUUGUUUUGGUCCUCAUUAGAAGGGGGUUUAAUAAUCAGCUUUAAAACUCAAACAGGUGCUCUUCAAUGCAGGUUUCUGAUAACUUUGGAGAUUGUGACAUCAGAAUAGAGGAAUAACUUUCAGGACCCCUGAAGAGUAAAAUAUUCAUGAUUAUCAAGCAGAACAGGCAUGAACUGCAUGGACUGAACAAAUCUUUUUGACUUUUUGCUUAAAAUGUUUGCUGAUCCUUCGUUUUGUUUUUCAGAGUCUUAAAACUUUUCUUUCAAGCUAAUGACAGCCUUUAACAGUUUAGUAUACUCCUAUGAACAAAAUAUGGAGCAUAUUUGUUUCUUUCUACUGAGUUCUCCAGAAUUUGGAAACUAUCUAGUUUUGCUCUGUCACACAGGCUGGAAUGCAUUGGCACCAUCUUGGCCCACCACAACCUCUGCCUCCUGGGUUCAAGCAAUUCUCCUGCCUCAGCCUCCCAAGUAGCUGAGAUUACAGGUGCCCACAACCAUGCUCGGCUAAUUUUUGUAUUUUUAGUUGAUACAAGGUUUCACCAUGUUGGCCAAGCUGGUCUCAAACUCCUGACCUUAAGUGAUCUGCCCACCUGGGCCUCCCAAAGUUCUGGGAUUACAGGUGUGAGCCACCUCACCUGGCCAUAUUUAUUGAAUAAAUUGAAUUAAUGCUUUCCGAAAAAAUUUUGGCAUUAAGCAAUUAUUCCUUAAACAGAAAAGUGAAAUAGGGUAAGAUGCUUUCUAUUCAUUCCGCACAAAUCUGGGAAGGAAGGAUAGAGUACAGAGGCAUU
This 1144-nucleotide long non-coding RNA is filed under the name Callithrix jacchus (white-tufted-ear marmoset). Its description in RNAcentral is "lncRNA (ENSCJAG00000059206.2)". Lineage: Eukaryota; Metazoa; Chordata; Mammalia; Primates; Cebidae. The record is from RNAcentral.